Molecule: long non-coding RNA, 102 nt
Organism: Aquila chrysaetos chrysaetos
Lineage: Eukaryota; Metazoa; Chordata; Aves; Accipitriformes; Accipitridae
Exons: 3
Source: RefSeq, a predicted model, not a curated record
AAACAAAUGAUGAGAUUUCAAUCACUCAGCACCUCCCACAAGCAGACUAAUGGCCACCCAGUCUCUGAGCAAUGGCCACCUUGGAAGAAAAACCCUCCUUCC